RNAcentral lists this RNase P RNA (250 nucleotides) under Salmonella enterica subsp. enterica serovar Typhimurium. RNAcentral's name for it is "bacterial RNase P". It matches the Rfam family "Bacterial RNase P class A", at positions 112 to 367 of the family's 367-position model. From Rfam's summary of the family: Ribonuclease P (RNase P) is a ubiquitous endoribonuclease, found in archaea, bacteria and eukarya as well as chloroplasts and mitochondria. Its best characterised activity is the generation of mature 5'-ends of tRNAs by cleaving the 5'-leader elements of precursor-tRNAs. Lineage: Bacteria; Pseudomonadati; Pseudomonadota; Gammaproteobacteria; Enterobacterales; Enterobacteriaceae. The record is from RNAcentral.
AAAAAGAGAGAAAACCGCCGAUGGCCCACGCAAGUGGGAUCAGGUAAGGGUGAAAGGGUGCGGUAAGAGCGCACCGCGCGGCUGGUAACAGUCCGUGGCACGGUAAACUCCACCCGGAGCAAGGCCAAAUAGGGGUUCAUAAGGUACGGCCCGUACUGAACCCGGGUAGGCUGCUUGAGCCAGUGAGCGAUUGCUGGCCUAGAUGAAUGACUGUCCACGACAGAACCCGGCUUAUCGGUCAGUUUCACUU